GAUGAACGCUGGCGGCGUGCCUAACACAUGCAAGUCGAACGAGAUGCGUAUUGGCAAGCUUCGGCCGGAAGAUGCGUUAUCGAGUGGCGGACGGGUGAGUAACACGUGGGUAACCUGCCUUAUGGAGGGGGAUAACAGAGAGAAAUCACUGCUAAUACCGCAUAAGCACACAUCGCCGCAUGGCAGAGUGUGAAAAGAUUUAUCGCCAUAAGAUGGACCCGCGUCUGAUUAGCCAGUUGGCAGGGUAAAAGCCUACCAAAGCAACGAUCAGUAGCCGAUCUGUGAGGAUGACCGGCCACUUUGGGGCUGAGACGCGGCCCGAACUCCUACGCGAGGCAGCAGUGGGUAAUAUUGCACAAUGGGGGAAACCCUGAUGCUGCGACGCCGCUUGAGUGAAGAAGUAUUUCGGUAUGUAAAGCUCUAUCAGCUGGGAAGAUAAUGACAGUACCUGACUAAGAAGCCCCGGCUAACUACGUG
This 477-nucleotide ribosomal RNA is filed under the name uncultured bacterium. Its description in RNAcentral is "partial 16S ribosomal RNA". It matches the Rfam family "Bacterial small subunit ribosomal RNA", at positions 28 to 507 of the family's 1533-position model. The record is from RNAcentral.